AGGGAGAGGGGGUUGGAUCUUCAAACUGGUGACAGGAUCUUUGAGCAUCUCUUCUGAAAGGCCUGAAGCAUGCUAACAUCGUCCUCCUUCAUGACAUCAUCCACACCAAGGAAACCCUAACUCUGGUUUUUGAAUAUGUGCACACAGACCUGUGUCAGUACAUGGACAAACACCCUGGAGGACUGCAUCCAGACAACGUCAAGCUCUUCCUGUUCCAGUUGCUGAGAGGUCUGUCCUACAUCCACCAGAGGUACAUUCUUCACCGUGACCUGAAACCCCAAAACCUCCUCAUUAGCGACACUGGAGAGCUGAAACUCGCCGACUUUGG
Molecule: non-coding RNA, 328 nt
Organism: Neolamprologus brichardi
Lineage: Eukaryota; Metazoa; Chordata; Actinopteri; Cichliformes; Cichlidae
Source: RefSeq, a predicted model, not a curated record